Molecule: long non-coding RNA, 266 nt
Filed under: Medicago truncatula (barrel medic)
Lineage: Eukaryota; Viridiplantae; Streptophyta; Magnoliopsida; Fabales; Fabaceae
Description: lncRNA gene25535
Source: RNAcentral
CUCGGGCUCCCCACAGUAUGCUUUGGGCAAUUUCAUUGUCCUGGAAGAAAAUUGUAUUGGCGGCCCAGAUGGAGGAUUCGAAGGUGGCUUGGAAGGUGCCGGCAUCUCCACUAUCCUUGAAUAGAUAACUGCAUAAAAGCACAUGGCAAGACAUUAAACCUGUAAACAGUAAUAUUCACAUCAUUUAGUUUAUUAAUAAUUCAAAGAAGAAUGCAUUUUAAUGUUGUAAAGAAUCAACAAAAUUGGCAAUAAAAUCCCACAUAAAA